UGGGGAAUAUUGCACAAUGGGCGCAAGCCUGAUGCAGCGACGCCGCGUGAGGGAUGACGGCCUUCGGGUUGUAAACCUCUUUCAGCAGGGACGAAGCGCGAGUGACGGUACCUGCAGAAGAAGCACCGGCCAACUACGUGCCAGCAGCCGCGGUAAUACGUAGGGUGCGAGCGUUGUCCGGAAUUACUGGGCGUAAAGAGCUCGUAGGCGGUUUGUCGCGUCGUCUGUGAAAUUCUGCAGCUUAACUGCAGGCGUGCAGGCGAUACGGGCAGACUUGAGUACUACAGGGGAGACUGGAAUUCCUGGUGUAGCGGUGAAAUGCGCAGAUAUCAAGAGGAACACCGGUGGCGAAGGCGGGUCUCUGGGUAGUAACUGGCGCUGAGGAGCGAAAGCGUGGGUAGCGAACAGGAUUAGAUACCCUGGUAGUCCACGCCGUAAACGGUGGGUACUAGGUGUGGUUCCAUUUCACGGGAUCCGUGCCGUAGCUAACGCAUUAAGUACCCCGCCUGGGGAGUACGGCCGCAAGGCUAAAACUCAAAGGAAUUGACGGGGUCAUAGCUGUUUCCU
RNAcentral lists this ribosomal RNA (567 nucleotides) under uncultured bacterium. Its description in RNAcentral is "partial 16S ribosomal RNA". It matches the Rfam family "Bacterial small subunit ribosomal RNA", at positions 355 to 1375 of the family's 1533-position model. The record is from RNAcentral.